CCUACGGGUGCAGCAGUGGGGAAUAUUGGACAAUGGGCGAAAGCCUGAUCCAGCCAUGCCGCGUGUGUGAAGAAGGCCUUCGGGUUGUAAAGCACUUUCAGUGGGGAAGAAAGCCUUGGGGCUAAUACCCUCGAGGAAGGACAUCACCCACAGAAGAAGCACCGGCUAACUCCGUGCCAGCAGCCGCGGUAAUACGGAGGGUGCGAGCGUUAAUCGGAAUUACUGGGCGUAAAGCGCGCGUAGGCGGUCUGAUAAGCCGGUUGUGAAAGCCCCGGGCUCAACCUGGGAACGGCAUCCGGAACUGUCAGGCUAGAGUGCAGGAGAGGAAGGUAGAAUUCCCGGUGUAGCGGUGAAAUGCGUAGAGAUCGGGAGGAAUACCAGUGGCGAAGGCGGCCUUCUGGACUGACACUGACGCUGAGGUGCGAAAGCGUGGGUAGCAAACAGGAUUAGAUACCCGUGUAGUC
Molecule: ribosomal RNA, 464 nt
Filed under: Vreelandella stevensii
Lineage: Bacteria; Pseudomonadati; Pseudomonadota; Gammaproteobacteria; Oceanospirillales; Halomonadaceae
Description: partial 16S ribosomal RNA
Rfam family: Bacterial small subunit ribosomal RNA
Source: RNAcentral